Molecule: transfer RNA, 73 nt
Filed under: Candidatus Contendobacter odensis Run_B_J11
Lineage: Bacteria; Pseudomonadati; Pseudomonadota; Gammaproteobacteria; Candidatus Competibacteraceae
Rfam family: tRNA
About the family: Transfer RNA (tRNA) molecules are approximately 80 nucleotides in length. Their secondary structure includes four short double-helical elements and three loops (D, anti-codon, and T loops).
Source: Rfam by way of RNAcentral
GCCCAUAUAGCUCAGUCGGUAGAGCGCAUCCUUGGUAAGGAUGAGGUCACCAGUUCAAAUCCGGUUAUGGGCU